This 238-nucleotide long non-coding RNA is filed under the name Carica papaya (papaya). RNAcentral describes it as "long non-coding RNA (CPAP_LNC015777)". Lineage: Eukaryota; Viridiplantae; Streptophyta; Magnoliopsida; Brassicales; Caricaceae. The record is from RNAcentral.
GAGGAGCAAAUGAGGUGAGAAAUAAUUCGAGAGUAGAGUAUAUGAGAGGCAGAGGGAAGAGGAUCGGUCAAAACAUAGUUAGGACUAGGCAUGGUGAAGUUUGGGAGUAGGUUCACUCGCGAUGCACCAAAAAUCAGAAUUAGUAUCAGCAAUGGUAGAGUAAGACUUGGUGUCGGCUUAAGCAUGUGUCAUUAUUGAGGAAGUGGUUUAUGAUGCGAGUAGUGCAACCUGUGUGUGU